UGUCCCAACUGGUACUAAUACCUCAGGCUUUUGCAAUGUUAAAUAAUUACCAGACUUUUUUUUUCAACAAAUACCCUAGGAUUGCUACUAUUUGCACUGGAUGAGUCCUAAAACAGGUCAAGUGAAAAUAUGUCCUGAGAAUGGAGUUACUCAGAAAGUGGUUGGACACAUCAUAUAGUGCAAAAUCUGAGAAUAGGGCUUUCUUUUUGUUUCACAUGCACUGAGUUCCCUCCAGUGAUUUUUAGAAUGCUAGCUCCCGCUUAAGGUCACUGCUUCUUACAGAGAUGUUUUGGAGGCUACCACAGAGUUGGGACAGAGAUAUCACAACAGAGCAAGAAUAAAUGCUAGAGUGAGCUCUGUUACUCCACUAUGUUUUUGAAAAUAAAUAAUCCUCCUCUGAUCAUUGUAAGCUUUUAGUUAAUUUGAGAGCCAUUUCAGGUUAACUUUGUCAAUUAUUUUCUGUUUGUGGUGUUGUUAGUGCUUUUAUGGAAGAGUAGGCUUACAAAUUUCAGAAAUUUCCCUUGAAUAAAUACUCCAUGAGUUGCUCUAAUGCAUUCAUUAGUUACCAGGAUUCUGCAAAUCUUUAUUCUAGCAUCCUUUGGCCAAUUUCUUCAUUGAUUUUAUAGAGGAAAAUAUUUGAUAUAUUUUUGUUGACUAUUUUUGCUAGUAUCCCAGCCUUUACUUAUUUAUUUAUUGUUUUGACAGGCAGAGUUAGACAGAGAGAGAGACAGAGAGAAAAGUCUUCCUUUUCCGUUGGUUCACCCCACAAAUGGCCGCCAUGGUUGGUGCACUGCGGCCAACGCACUGUGCCAAUCCGAAGCCAGGAGCCGGGUGCUUCCUCCUGGUCUCCCAUGCAGGUGCAGGGCCCAAGCACUUGGGCCAUCCUCCACUGCCUUCCCAGGCCACAGCAUAGAGCUGGACUGAAAGAGGAGCAACUGGGACAGAAUCUGGUGCCCCAUCAGGGACUAGAACCCCGGGGUGCUGGUGCCGCAGGCGGAAGAUUAGCCUAGUGAGCCACAGCGCCGGCCUCCCAGCCUUUACUUAUUUGAAUAUAAUUUUCUACCUCUAGAAAGUCAAUUUGUUGUUAUCUUCUAUUUCUUUACUUAGCUAUGUUUUGCCCUAAAUACUGAUACAUUUUUGUAACACCUUUUUAAAUAUUUUUCUUGAGUUUUUAUCAUGCUUCUAAUAUCUGAGUCUGUUUCUGCUGAUUUAGUUUUCUUUUGAUCAUUGGUAUAUUUUUCUGCUUCUUAGCACGUGUCAGAAUUUCUCAUGUGCUAGAUAUUGUCAUUUUACAUUGUUGAACGCUUGAAUUUUGAUGUUAUAAUGUGUUGAUGUUUAUCGAUUUAGUUUGUGCAAUAAUUUAAGUUACUUGAAGUUCCAGUUGACCUUUUAGUGGCUGAUAUAUAGGCUUUAUACACACAUAUUUUAUAUGAAAUGUAGAGUGAAUUCUAGGACUCUUCUAUACCUACUGUUAAAUGGUAAUCCUUCUAGAGUCUCUUCUUAAUGCUUUGAAUGUUUAAUAUUAGUGUUUGUUUUAAGAUUUAUUUAUUAAUUUGAAAGUCAGAGUUAGAGAUGGGGGGAGGAGAGGGGGUCUUCCAUCUGCUGGUUCACUCCCUAGAUGGCCGCAAUGCACUGAUCUGAAGCCAGGAGCCAGGAUCUUCUUCUGGGUGUCCCACGUGGGUGCAGGGGCCCAGGGACUUGAGCCAUCUUCUACUGCUUUCCCAGGCCACAGCAGGGAGCUGGAUCAGAAGAGGAGGAGCCGUGACUAGAACCAGUGCCCAUAUGGGAUACAGGCGCUUCAGGCCAGGGCAUUAACCCAUUGUGUUAACCUGCUGUGCCACAGCACCGGCCCCCAUAUUACUGUUUAAUCUCUCCAUUCUGGCUGGAUGGAAUUCAAAAAUGUCCAUGUUUUGUGUAACAUCUAGUAUCUGCUAACCCAAUAUGUUUCUGGUGUUUUUUUACAUUUAUCUGUCCUUUUAGAGUUUAAUACUAUACACACACAGUUUAUGAUUUCUCAUCUUGCUAUUUGUUGAACGCUUUACUUAGUGUAGGGUUAAUGAGUAUGAAGUAGACUGAAAGUAGAUCACUGUACAAAUUAAGAGAGGGAAUAAGGAGAAGCAGGAGAAAGGGUGGCAUUGUGGGCAGGAGGGAGGGUAGGGAUCUCUAUGAAGAAAGUUACAUUUCUUAUCCUGCUUAUUUCCUGACCCUGUAAUUAUCUACUCUAUUAUUUUUACAUUCUUCAUCUUCCCAAAAGAACUGAUAGUUUCUUACUUAUCUCCACAGGACCACUAUAGUGGCUUCUUUUCUCCUUUUUUGUUUUGCUGAUUUAGUGCUCAGCUCCUUUAUUUCCCUUAUUUUAGAAAUCAAAUUCCCAAACUCUUUGUUUCCCACGUCCUGGAAACAAUUGUUUCUUAUAUGUUAUCCAUUUUCUAGGGUUGUUUUUUUCUUAACAAACAGGAGAUGAAGUCUUGUUAUCAGUUAACAUAUGGUGAAUAGAGCCUUCUUUGUAAAUGGCCUGUUCUCCCUUCCAGAAUGCCCACAUUUAUCUAUUUAUCCUUGAAAUUCAGUAACUUUUCUGCUGAAUGUUCUGUGCUGUUUUUUCCCUGAGAUACAUUCUAUCCACUUCAUCCCUAUAUUAAGGACCUUCUUACCCCUCCUGUGUCAAGCUGCGUUCCUCAUUCUUUGGGAAGACAGGAAGACGGAGCUAUGUGAAGUGAACAUAUUUUGUCUGGAUUUCAGCAUGUGAUCAUUCCUCCCUCACCUGUCAAUACCAGCCUCCAACAGACACUGGAUGAUGGGGCCGCCCAGUCUUCAACUAUAUCCUCCAAAUUUUCUGGAAGACCAAGAACAUGCUGCUAACAUCUGUUUCUGAUGAGACCCUCAUGGCGGAUAGCAUCAUAUAACUUGUGCAAGGAAAGGAGAUCACAUGGUGAUAGCAGAAGCAAGACUGAGCUGAGGAAGGUAAACUUCAUUUAUAAUUACUCGCUUACACAGUAACAAAUCUAGUCCCAUGAGGCAUAACCCACUCAUGGGAAAUGAGGGGUGACCUAAUCCCCUCCCACUAGGCUCCACCUCUUAGAGGUUCUACCACCUCUCAAUACUGAUACUUUGGGAGCUAAGUUUUCACCAUAUGAACCUUUGGGGACCCUAGCGAUGAUGUUUGUGCUUCUACAUCCCUAUUAGAUGGAAUAGAGAAUGGCCCAGCCUAAGGCGACAUGGUAGUAGGAGAACAAGGAAGUGUGAAUUGACAGACCUAUUGCAAUAAAUCUCCAUGAGAAGAGAACUCAUAGAUCUGCAAUAUCAAGAGUAGAUUGGAGCCUUUCCUAUUAGGGUUCACUGGUAUUUUGUCUGCCAUGGAAAAUGGACAGGAAAGUGAUAUUUCUCAUUGUGUGUAAACUGCACAGAGAGAAUAGCCCUAUAAGGUGGGUGGACUUUGAGGCAUUCAAUUGGGAAGAGGGAGAGAGAGAGAGUGAGAGACAGAAAGAGAUUUCCAUCUGCUGUUUCACUCCCCAGAUGGCUAUCAUGGCUGGUGCUGAGGCAGGCUGAAGCUAAGAGCUGUGUGCAUCUCCCAGGUCUCCCAUGUAGGUGGCAGGAGUCCAAGUACUUGGAUCAUUCUCUGCUAAUUUGGCCAUUAGCAGAGAACUGGAUCAGAAGUGGAGCAGGAGUGAUGCAAACCAGCAGCCAUUAGGAUGCCAGCAUUGCAGGUGGUGGCUCAAUCAGCUAUGCCACAACACCAUCCCCUCUUCAGGUAUUGAUAUACAAUACAUACUUUUCCUAAUAAGGAAGGGAAAUUUCAGGACUUUUUGACAUUAAAAUGAUUUCCUUAACCCCAGUCUUCAUCACUGUUUAUUAAAAACCUGCAAAAUAGGUAUGAUGCUGGGCUGGUGCCGCGGCUCACUAGGCUAAUCCUCCGCCUUUCGGCGCCGGCACACCGGGUUCUAGUCCCGGUCAGGGUGCCAGAUUCUGUCCCGGUUGCCCCUCUUCCAGGCCAGCUCUCUGCUGUGGCCCGGGAAGGCAGUGGAGGAUGGCCCAAGUACUUGGGCCCUGCACCCCAUGGGAGACCAGGAGAAGUACCUGGAUCCUGGCCUCGGAUCAGCACGGUGCGCCGGCCGCAGCGUGCCGGCCACGGCGGCCAUUGGAGGGUGAACCAACGGCAAAGGAAGACCUUUUUCUCUGUCUCUCUCUCUCACUGUCCACUCUGCCUUGUGGGGAGCAAACCGGACUAGACUGAGUUACUGGAAUUGGGACUUGUUCUGUGCAUCUGCUCUCCCACAAUAUGGCGCUGGGAGAGAAGUAAACAGCUUCCGCACAGCUGCCUCCAGUUCAGCUAAUAAACUGUAGGACUUGCUCCUGAUUGGAGGAGAGCAGCGUACUCGGCGUGUGGGCAGCCGAGUUAGGAUUGGCGGAGGAGGACUAUAAAGGAGGAGAGAGACGGCAUGCACCAGGAACAUCUAAGGGGAGCAUCUAGCUGAAGGAACACCCGUGCAGCCCCCGAGAAGAGCCGGCCGGCGGUGUGCCGCUCCCCUGCGGAAGUGGGGAAUGUGGCCAGGGGGAACUGCCCUUCCACGGAGGUGGAAGGGAUAGUAGCCAACCCGGGAAGAACCAGCAGCAAACCCGGGGAGGGCCGAGCAGACGAAAGAACAGCGCAGGGUCCUGUGUCGUUCCUCCACGAAGAGGGGGAGCGACAUAAUGGUGCCGUGACUCGGAUAUGAAGCCUAGGCAGGGUUUAGUGUUGCUCCUCCAUGAAGAGGGGGAGUGACACUGCCUGUCAAAAAAUAAAAAAAAAAAUCACUAAAAAAAAAUAGGUAUGAUGCUUCUCAGACUUCACCACCUCCAUAGUUAAAAGACCUUUCAGUCUUGUUGCUUAUUUUAAUAAGGAUCUCCAAUUUAAAACUGGAAUUUAUUUUACUUGUAUUUCCUUCCAAUAUGUAUGUUUCAAACUUCACAUAUAUAUAUAUAUAUAUAUGUUUCAAACUUCACAAAUAUAUUUUUAAAUAUAUUUUAAAUUUUAAUUUACAUACAAUAAUAUUUUGGGGGAAAUUUCUGUAAUUUUAAAUGAAUGUGAACUUAUAUAACAUUCAGCAAAGAAUCCUACCAGAUGCUUUCAGGUCAAAAUUCCACCCUCAGAUUCUAGAAUCAAUUCACUAUACUUGUUUUCCUGUAUUUUGGAGUAGUGUGAUCAGUAUUUCCAUGGAAACUCUGACAUCAAGUAGCAUGUGUCAUAGAAGAAAAAUGCAAAACCAUAUUCAAAGUGCUCUAGGUAAAUAGCCAGAAAUUCCAAGCUCCCAGAGGAAUAUAUGGGCAUCUCUAGUACUUAAGCUCCUAUCUAUUUUGUACAUCAUUCUGAUAAUGAAUCUGGGCUUGUUUUUAUACCAGGCUCUUGGGAGCAAAAGGGAUUUCUACUCUGCAACUCACAAAUUAAUAAUUAUUUUCCUGUUUUUUGCUUUUAUGAUCUUGCAGUUUUUCACUGCUUAUUCUGUAGUUUUAGAGUUAAGAAAAGUAACUAAUUAAGAGGGCUUCAGAUAUUUGAGUAAUGAUGUUGGGAUUGAGUAUUGGAGUAUAUUUUCUUUUCAACUAAGAUCUGGGUCCUUCAAAUUAAGACUUUAUUAAAACACUCGGGGGAAAAAAGCAGGAAAAGGCAAUUAAGAAUAUUUAUUCUAUUAGCAAGAGGAUGUAAGGACAAGGCUUAGUAGUUCUCAGUUCUGAACACUGCCAUGUAACACAGGUUAUACCUGUGGGUAUAGCACUUAGGAGGGAUGGAAGAAGAAAGACAGUGGGGUUGGUAUUACAAAAGCCCUUUGGAUAAAUGUCAGUAGACACAUAGAGCCUCAAAGCAUUGAGUGGUCAUUUCAAAAGGACUCAUGUAGGUGUUUAGGUGGGCUUUCCACACUUAGACAUGCAGUGUAUGUGUGUGUGGUUCUACUCUAGAAACUGGUGAUCGUAUACAAUUAAAUAUAAUUGAUGCCUCUGCAAGGAGAGUAACACAUACCACGUACAACAUAGAUGGUAGGUAUGUUUUGUUGCACACAAAGGGAAGCUUUCCCAAGAGUACAAAAUUGUCACCCCUCCACUCCCUAGUGCUAGCCUCCUUCAUGGAAAUUCUUUUAGGUACUUGUUCAGAGACAAGUUCUGGGACAUGAAGGUCCUGACAAAAAAACAACCAAAUAAAAACAAAUCCUGCUGCUCUUCCUUCUGUGAUUCAUAUCCACUUUCUGAAGUUGCCUGAUGGAAAGGUGAACAAGGCUUUUAAUGUAGUCAUGGUGCUCUUCACUGGCUGUGAAGUAUUUUUUUUCCUUUUGUAGAUACUUUUUCCUGCCCCACCCCCCAAAUUCUUUAAUCUGUUUUUCUGCGUAAGUUGCCCUCAGCGUUUUCAAAGCUUCUCUUUGAGAUUCACUCUAACUCAUCCCCACUUCUCAGUUCAUUAACCCAGCUAGAGUUCAGAUUUUCUAACUGUCAGGUUUUGAAUCUUGUUCUUUCUUCAUAGGCCUAAAGGAUAUUUCAUUUGAAAAUACAUGUGAAUCCAUCCUCUAUAAUUAUCAAUUUAUUAGAGUAUCUACAUAGUUCUUAAGAAAUUCUUCUCAUUGAUAUGAUGUUAUUUUGGUACUUUUUAGAAGUUAUAUGUCUGUUGUUUUGGGAAGGAGACAGAAUUGGGGAUGGUAAGUGUCAUAUACCUGAGUGUUAUCAGCUGGACUGGAUAGGUGUUUAAGGACCAAGACACAAAUUUCACUUCUUUGUAUGGGACAAAAGGAGGUAAGUUGAUGCAUUCUUCCUUUAAUUUUGUUAAGAAAGUUGGGAAUGUUCUGUGUGGGAUUCUGUUGUAUUAAUAACCCAUAAGUAUCACCAUACUUCAAUAUUUUGUAAACGUUUACUUAAUCAAAAUAAGAAAAAUUGUUUUCUUAUUUCUUACCACCAUCACCACUGUACAUGUGUCUAAUAUUCACAAUACUAUUUUUGUGGUUAAACGUUUUUCUGUAUUUUGCUUUAUUUUUUGAUAUGUGUUUUUGGCACACUAUUUUUUUGAUAUUUUAUGUAUAGGAUCUGCAUGAAAAAUGUUUGUUUUCCUACUUUUGUUUUGAGAUUCUGGUUGUCUGGUUGUAGUUGACUUAUGAUAGCUGCAUAUCCUUCUGAAUUUCAGUAAGUGUCAUAGACAGAAUUACAUUCUUGGAACACUUUUCCUGAGAAAUAUGCAUUUAAAAGAUUAAUACGUCUCUCCCUUUAUAGGUUUUUGAAAAAUGCAUAAAGUUCUGUAUCUACCUCCAAGGCUAUGAUGCAAAAGAGUUCCAUCACCCCCGAAAUUUCCUCAUGCUUUCCUUCAGUAGUAAUCUGAUACCCCAGCCAAAUCCCAGGCAGCCACAUCUCAGUUUUCCACCCUUAUAAUUUGCCUUUCUAAUAGAAUGUCAUACAAACAUAGUCACAUGAUGUGUUGUUCUUUGGUCUGGUUCCUUUCACUUAAAAAUAUGCAUUCAGAAUUUGUCAAUGUUUUUAUGUGAAUUGAUAUUAUUUUAACUUUUCUUCAGAAAUGUUAAUGUUCAUUAAUUUAUACUUAUUUGAAAGGUAGAGCAGCAAAGUGAGAGAGAAAGAGAGAGAGA
Oryctolagus cuniculus (rabbit) is the source of this 7589-nucleotide non-coding RNA. Lineage: Eukaryota; Metazoa; Chordata; Mammalia; Lagomorpha; Leporidae. The record is from RefSeq and is a predicted model, not a curated record.